Molecule: long non-coding RNA, 1189 nt
Filed under: Parus major (Great Tit)
Lineage: Eukaryota; Metazoa; Chordata; Aves; Passeriformes; Paridae
Description: lncRNA (ENSPMJG00000002313.1)
Source: RNAcentral
CUCACCCAGGUUGUCCAGCCCCCCGUAGGUGACGGGGGUCCCGCUCAGGUCGAUGCCCACCACGGGCAGGUGCCGCAGCCGGGACAGCUCCGAGCGGCUCCCGGGGCGGAUCCAGCGCUGCUGCCCCAAAAACCUGCGGGGUCAACCUGGGGUCACACCCAAAAAACCUGCGGGGUCAACCUGGGGUCAGGACCCCAAAAACCUGUGGGGUCACACCCAAAAACCUGAGGGGUCACCUGGGGUCAGGACCCCAAAAACCUGCGGGGUCACAUCCAAAACCUGCGGCGUCAACCUGGGGUCAGGACCCCAAAAUCCUGCGGGGUCAACCUGGGGUCAGGACCCCAAAAACCUGAGGGGUCAACCUGGGGUCAGGACCCUAAAAACCUGUGGGGUUACACCCCAAAAACCUCGGGGUCACCCGGGGUCAGGACCCCAAAAACCUGUGGGGUCACACCCCAAACCUGCGGGGUUACACCCCACAACCUGUGGGGUCACCUGGGGUCAGAACCCCAAAAACCUGCGGGGUUACACCCCAAAAACCUGUGGGGUCAACCUGGGGUCAGGACCCCAAAAUCCUGCGGGGUCACCUGGGGUCAGGACCCCAAAAUCCUGCGGGGUCAACCUGGGGUCAGGACCCCAAAAACCUGUGGGGUCACCUGGGGUCACACCCCAAAAACCUGCGGGGUUACACCCAAAACCUGUGGGGUCACACCCCAAAAUCCUGCGGGGUCAACCUGGGGUCAGGACCCCAAAACCUGCGGGGUUACACCCAAAACCUGUGGGGUUACACCCAAAAACCUGCGGGGUCAACCUGGGGUCAGACCCCAAAUCCUGCGGGGUCACCUGGGGUCAGGACCCCAAAAACCUGCGGGGUCACACCCCAAAAACCUGUGGGGUCAACCUGGGGUCAGGACCCCAAAAACCUGUGGGGUUACGCCCAAAAACCUGCGGGGUUACACCCAAAAAUCUGUGUGGUCAACCUGGGGUCAGGACCCCAAAACCUGCGGGGUUACACCCCAAAAACCUGCGGGGUCAACCUGGGGUCAGGACCCCAAAAACCUGUGGGGUCAACCUGGGGUCAGGACCCCAAAAACCUGCGGGGUUACACCCCAAACCUGCAGGGUUACACCCAAAAACCUGCGGGGUCAACCUGGGUUCAGGACCCCAAAAUCCUGUGGGGUCACACCCC